CCUACGGGAGGCAGCAGUGGGGAAUAUUGGACAAUGGGCGCAAGCCUGAUCCAGCCAUGCCGCGUGUGUGAAGAAGGUCUUCGGAUUGUAAAGCACUUUAAGUUGGGAGGAAGGGCAGUAAGUUAAUACCUUGCUGUUUUGACGUUACCGACAGAAUAAGCACCGGCUAACUCUGUGCCAGCAGCCGCGGUAAUA
Molecule: ribosomal RNA, 195 nt
Filed under: uncultured bacterium
Lineage: Bacteria
Description: partial 16S ribosomal RNA
Rfam family: Bacterial small subunit ribosomal RNA
Source: RNAcentral